CGGCGGACGGGUGAGUAACGCGUGGGUAACCUGCCUCAUACAGGGGGAUAACAGUUAGAAAUGACUGCUAAUACCGCAUAAGACCACGGUACCGCAUGGUACAGUGGUAAAAACUCCGGUGGUAUGAGAUGGACCCGCGUCUGAUUAGGUAGUUGGUGGGGUAACGGCCUACCAAGCCGACGAUCAGUAGCCGACCUGAGAGGGUGACCGGCCACAUUGGACUGAGACACGGUCCAA
Molecule: ribosomal RNA, 237 nt
Filed under: uncultured bacterium
Lineage: Bacteria
Description: partial 16S ribosomal RNA
Rfam family: Bacterial small subunit ribosomal RNA
Source: RNAcentral